AAGCUUUUAAGAGCAGAUGGCGGAUGCCUUGCCAAAGAGAGGCGAUGAAGGACGUACUAGACUGCGAUAAGCUAUGCGGAGCUGUCAAGGAGCUUUGAUGCGUAGAUGUCCGAAUGGGGCAACCCAACUAAUAGAGAUAUUAGUUACUCUAAUUUAGAGAGCGAACCUAGUGAAGUGAAACAUCUCAGUAACUAGAGGAAAAGAAAUCAACGAGAUUCCCUAAGUAGUGGCGAGCGAACGGGGAAAAGGGCAAACCGAGUGCUUGCAUUCGGGGUUGAGGGCUGCAACAUCCAAGAGAACGCUUUAGCAGAGUUACCUGGAAAGGUAAGCCAUAGAAAGUGAUAGCCUUGUAUGCGACAAGGCGUUUUUAGGUAGCAGUAUCCAGAGUAGGCCAGGACACGAGGAAUCCAGGUUGAAGCCGGGGAGACCACUCUCCAACCCUAAAUACUACUCUUUGAGCGAUAGCGAACAAGUACCGUGAGGGAAAGGUGAAAAGAACCGCAGUGAGCGGAGUGAAAUAGAACCUGAAACCAUCUGCUUACAAUCAUUCAGAGCCCUAUGAUUUAUCAGGGUGAUGGACUGCCUUUUGCAUAAUGAUCCUGCGAGUUGUGGUAUCUGGCAAGGUUAAGCGAAUGCGAAGCCGUAGCGAAAGCGAGUCUUAAUAGGGCGAACGAGUCAGAUGCUGCAGACCCGAAGCUAAGUGAUCUAUCCAUGGCCAAGUUGAAACGCGUGUAAUAGCGCGUGGAGGACUGAACUCGUACCCAUUGAAACGGGUUGGGAUGAGCUGUGGAUAGGGGUGAAAGGCCAAACAAACUUAGUGAUAGCUGGUUCUCUUCGAAAUAUAUUUAGGUAUAGCCUCAAGUGAUAAUAAAAGGGGGUAGAGCCCUGAUUGGGCUAGGGCUGCUCGCCGCGGUACCAAACCCUAUCAAACUUCGAAUACCUUUUAACGUAUCUUGGGAGUCAGGCGGUGGGUGAUAAAAUCAAUCGUCAAAAGGGGAACAACCCAGACUACCAAAUAAGGUCCCUAAGUUCUAUUCUGAGUGGAAAAAGAUGUGUGGCUACUCAAACAACCAGGAGGUUGGCUUAGAAGCAGCCAUCCUUUAAAGAAAGCGUAACAGCUCACUGGUCUAGUGGUCAUGCGCUGAAAAUAUAACGGGGCUAAGAUAGACACCGAAUUUGUAGAUUGUGUUAAACACAGUGGUAGAAGAGCGUUCAUACCAGCGUUGAAGGUAUACCGGUAAGGAGUGCUGGAGCGGUAUGAAGUGAGCAUGCAGGAAUGAGUAACGAUAAGAUAUAUGAGAAUUGUAUCCGCCGUAAAUCUAAGGUUUCCUACGCGAUGGUCGUCAUCGUAGGGUUAGUCGGGUCCUAAGCCGAGUCCGAAAGGGGUAGGUGAUGGCAAAUUGGUUAAUAUUCCAAUACCGACUAUGGAGCGUGAUGGGGGGACGCAUAGGGUUAAGCGAGCUAGCUGAUGGAAGUGCUAGUCUAAGGGCGUAGAUUGGAGGGAAGGCAAAUCCACCUCUGUAUUUGAAACCCAAACAGGCUCUUUGAGUCCUUUUAGGACAAAGGGAGAAUCGCUGAUACCGUCGUGCCAAGAAAAGCCUCUAAGCAUAUCCAUAGUCGUCCGUACCGCAAACCGACACAGGUAGAUGAGAUGAGUAUUCUAAGGCGCGUGAAAGAACUCUGGUUAAGGAACUCUGCAAACUAGCACCGUAAGUUCGCGAUAAGGUGUGCCACAGCGAUGUGGUCUCAGCAAAGAGUCCCUCCCGACUGUUUACCAAAAACACAGCACUUUGCCAACUCGUAAGAGGAAGUAUAAGGUGUGACGCCUGCCCGGUGCUCGAAGGUUAAGAGGAUGCGUCAGUCGCAAGAUGAAGCGUUGAAUUGAAGCCCGAGUAAACGGCGGCCGUAACUAUAACGGUCCUAAGGUAGCGAAAUUCCUUGUCGGUUAAAUACCGACCUGCAUGAAUGGCGUAACGAGAUGGGAGCUGUCUCAACCAGAGAUUCAGUGAAAUUGUAGUGGAGGUGAAAAUUCCUCCUACCCGCGGCAAGACGGAAAGACCCCGUGGACCUUUACUACAACUUAGCACUGCUAAUGGGAAUAUCAUGCGCAGGAUAGGUGGGAGGCUUUGAAGUAAGGGCUUUGGCUCUUAUGGAGCCAUCCUUGAGAUACCACCCUUGAUGUUUCUGUUAGCUAACUGGCCUGUGUUAUCCACAGGCAGGACAAUGCUUGGCGGGUAGUUUGACUGGGGCGGUCGCCUCCUAAAAAGUAACGGAGGCUUGCAAAGGUUGGCUCAUUGCGGUUGGAAAUCGCAAGUUGAGUGUAAUGGCACAAGCCAGCCUGACUGUAAGACAUACAAGUCAAGCAGAGACGAAAGUCGGUCAUAGUGAUCCGGUGGUUCUGUGUGGAAGGGCCAUCGCUCAAAGGAUAAAAGGUACCCCGGGGAUAACAGGCUGAUCUCCCCCAAGAGCUCACAUCGACGGGGAGGUUUGGCACCUCGAUGUCGGCUCAUCGCAUCCUGGGGCUGGAGCAGGUCCCAAGGGUAUGGCUGUUCGCCAUUUAAAGCGGUACGCGAGCUGGGUUUAGAACGUCGUGAGACAGUUCGGUCCCUAUCUGCCGUGGGCGCAGGAAAGUUGAGGAGAGCUGUCCCUAGUACGAGAGGACCGGGAUGGACGUGUCACUGGUGCACCAGUUGUUCUGCCAAGAGCAUCGCUGGGUAGCUACACACGGAUGUGAUAACUGCUGAAAGCAUCUAAGCAGGAAGCCAACUCCAAGAUAAACUUUCCCUGAAGCUCGCACAAAGACUAUGUGCUUGAUAGGGUAGAUGUGUAAGUGCAGUAAUGCGUUUAGCUGACUACUACUAAUAGAGCGUUUGGCUU
Molecule: ribosomal RNA, 2877 nt
Filed under: Helicobacter pylori NCTC 11637 = CCUG 17874 = ATCC 43504 = JCM 12093
Lineage: Bacteria; Pseudomonadati; Campylobacterota; Epsilonproteobacteria; Campylobacterales; Helicobacteraceae
Description: bacterial LSU rRNA
Rfam family: Bacterial large subunit ribosomal RNA
Source: RNAcentral